Molecule: ribosomal RNA, 334 nt
Filed under: Candidatus Omnitrophota bacterium
Lineage: Bacteria; Pseudomonadati; Candidatus Omnitrophota
Description: Candidatus Omnitrophica bacterium (sediment metagenome) partial 23S ribosomal RNA
Rfam family: Bacterial large subunit ribosomal RNA
Source: RNAcentral
GUGAGCUGGGUUUAGAACGUCGUGAGACAGUUCGGUCUCUAUCUGGUGUGGACGUGCGAUACUUGAAGGGGAGAUCUCCUCAGUACGAGAGGACCGGGAGAUACAGACCUCUGGUGUUCCAGUUAUCCUGCCAAGGGUAGUCGCUGGGUAGCCAUGUUUGGAAAGGAUAAGUGCUGAAGGCAUAUAAGCACGAAGCCCACCUCAAGAUUAGGUAUCGUGUUCUGUAGCAAUACAGGACGUAGGCACCUUGUAGACUACAAGGUUGAUAGGCUGCAGGUGUAAGCCUCGUAAGGGGUUAAGCUAAGCAGUACUAAUAAGCCAAACGCUUGAUCAU